UAAUGAUGAUGAUGAUGAUGAUGAUGAUGAUGUUCUAGAGGUUCCAACAACAUCUACCAUCACCACCACCACCAACAACAAAC
RNAcentral lists this microRNA precursor (83 nucleotides) under Bigelowiella natans CCMP2755. Its description in RNAcentral is "miRNA EPrBNAG00000013231". Lineage: Eukaryota; Cercozoa; Chlorarachniophyceae. The record is from RNAcentral.